Molecule: ribosomal RNA, 253 nt
Filed under: uncultured bacterium
Lineage: Bacteria
Description: partial 16S ribosomal RNA
Rfam family: Bacterial small subunit ribosomal RNA
Source: RNAcentral
CACGUAGGGCGCAAGCGUUGUCCGGAAUUAUUGGGCGUAAAGAGCUCGUAGGCGGUCUGUUGCGUCGGGAGUGAAAACUCAGGGCUUAACCCUGAGCCUGCUUCCGAUACGGGCAGACUAGAGGUAUGCAGGGGAGAACGGAAUUCCUGGUGUAGCGGUGAAAUGCGCAGAUAUCAGGAAGAACACCCGUGGCGAAAGCGGCUCUCUGGGACGGUACUGACGCUGAGACGCGAAAGCGUGGGGAGCGAACAGG